Symphalangus syndactylus (siamang) is the source of this 4967-nucleotide long non-coding RNA. RefSeq lists it as uncharacterized. NCBI's taxonomy places the organism in Eukaryota, Metazoa, Chordata, Mammalia, Primates, Hylobatidae. The record is from RefSeq and is a predicted model, not a curated record.
GUCUGUUUUCUCAAUGAUAACUUGGCAGAAGAAGAGAGAGGCUGCCAGGUUCUCCUCGGGUGGUUACGUGACAAAUGUCUUCCAUGCUGUUUGUCACCACUCUACAUGCCAGUUCAGACAGCCGAGUGGUUUCUUUCCCCAGGAGUGAGAUGUUUGAGCAACUAGCAAAGAGAAGAGGCAGCGUACCCAAGAACUCUGGAGUUUGAAUAGAUCCUUUCUCAGCCCAGAUUCUCUAAAUCCAGCUCUGCCUAGGAACCGCUCUCUGUUUCUGUUGCUUAUUCAAGUUCAAACUCCGCAGUUAAUAUUGUUGGAGCAUGUUCAGUUUCACUUCCCAACCAAACCAAAGGGCAUAAAAAUGCUUACUAAGGUAGAUGGAAGACAUAGAAGGCAAUGCCCUAAACUUUACUCGUGCUUAGACCUUGUAAAUCCAAUUAAACCUCCUCAACAACAUGGGAAGGGAAGUAUUAUUAUCCCCAUUUCUGUGCCAAGGAAACUGAGACACAAAGAAGUUGAGUAAUUUGCUCAAAAUUACACAGCUGGGGUUCAAAUUAAAGUGCCCUGAGUGCUCGCUAUCAAGCUCUCUGCUUACCUACCUACCUACCUAUUCAAACUUAUUUCCAACUAUUGGCAUCACUGAGUCAUGUUUCAGUUAGGCUGGUCACCCACUGUUCAUCUCAUACACUCUGUUGACUCACACUGCGAUCCCAGUGUCAAAUCUUUCAACUCCCUCUUCACUUCCCAAUUCCUUUCUGAACAAAUAGGCAUUUUUCCGCUUUCUCUUCGGGUUUACCUAACAUAGUGCUAAGUACAACACUGGCUCUCAUUAAAUACCUUCUGAUGCAUUAAUUGACAUAAAAUUGUCUUAUGGAGACCUAGAAUGCCACUUUUCCAGUUGAUAGAAAUUAAGUUUUAUGUAGCAAAAGUGUUAUCCUUUCAGCUGAAGAAAUGACAAGUUUAUUUCUCCAUAUUUUAGACAGUCCCUAGAAAACAAUUUAGGGAAGCAUUCUAUGAUAAAGCAGAACUUCAUAUGGGGAGUGGGGUGGGUGAGCAGGUAUAUAAUUGUAGUACUUGAAAAGCUACGUAGACUUAAUUAUUAUGACUUUAUAGCUCUUAUGAGUCUUUCUCUGCUAUAUUUUGAAUUUUUGACUGUCAAGAUAUUAAAAUUUCCAUUUAAAAAGAUAGGAAAACAAAUAAGAACCCGUAGGCAGGAGAUAUGUGAUCUCAUCUUGGAGCUGCUGCUACUGCUCGCUGUGUGGCCUCUGGCAAAUUAUUUAACCAUUCUGGGCCUCAGUUCCCUAACUGCACAAGGAAGGGUUGAACCAAUCUCCAAGGUCCCUCCAGCUCCAAGCUUACAAGUAUGACAUAGGAUGUGUGAGAGAAGAAAGAGCAAGAACACUCAGCCUGGAGUGAGACUGGUUUUUUUGAAGGAUGCGAAAAAAAUGCUGGAGAGCUCAGGUAAAGUUAGCCAAGUUUAUGUUUCUAAUUCCUGUGUAUAAUUAAAGAUAGCUCAGGAAAAAAAAAAUCCAUGCAAAAAUAUGUUCAAACCUAUGGUUUCCAGUGGCUCACACCUGUAAUCCCAGCACUUCAAGAGGCCAAGGCGGGAGGAUUGCUUCAACCCAGGAUUUUGAGACCCGCCUAGGCAAUGUAAUGAGACCCCUGUCUCUGCAAGAAAUAGAAGAAAUCAGCAGGGCAUGGUGGCAUAUGCCUGUUGUCCCAGCUACUCAGAAGGCUGAGGCAAGAGGAUUGCUUGAGCCCUGAAGUCAAGGCUGCAGUAAGCAGUGAUCGUGCCACUGCACUCUAGCUGAGGUGACAGAGUGAGACCCCUGUCUCAAAACACACACACACACACACACACAUAUAAAAACCCUACACUUUACAAAACUGCCCUUUUUUAUAUGAGAUAAAAUUAUUAUUAUAUUUUUUAUUAAUAAUAAAAUAUUAUUAUUUGAGACAGGAUCUGGCUCUGUAUUCCAGGCUGGAGUGCAGUGGCCUGACCAUAGCUCACUGUAACCUCGAACUCCUGGGCUCAAGCAAUCCUCCUGCCUCAGACUCUGGAGCAGCUAGGACUACAGGUAUGUGCCACCAUGCCCAGCUAUUUUUUAAAACUAUUUUGUAGAGAUGAGUCCUCGCUAUGUUGUCCAGGCUGGUCUCAAACUCCUGGCCUUGGGCAAUCCUCCUGUCUUCACCUCCAGAGUUGCUGGAAUUACAGGCAUGAGCCACUGCACCCAGACCCCAAGAUGAAAUUAUCAACAACCGUGUUUACCAGUAGCCUACCAUAUCAGCCAAAAUGUUAUUAGUCAUGAUUCAUGUAUGCCUAAAACUUUCUUUCUAACAGUAUCAAAUUGUUGUAUAGACCUAAUUUGAUAUGAAUGGAUCCAACCUAUUGCCUGGAUGUCAACUCACAUGUAGCUUGAAUUAAAUCAUGAAGAACAGAGGUCUACAGAGACUUGGGGGCUAGAAUCAGAAUGAGACUUUUUGCAUGUUUCCUGUUUAUAACUGAGUAAGCCUGUGUUCUUUUCCUUAUUUGUCCUCAUGUGUUGAAUAAUUACAACUCAUUGACUUCCUCAUCAGGUUUUUGUUGGGAUAAAAUGAAGUAGUGGAAACGAGACAGACUCUACCAAUACAACAAAAUAUUAUGAUGUCAGAUGUGCCUCAUCUUACAUCUGAGUUGUAUUUCUAAAAAGUUUACCAGUUAGCAGAGCAUGUGGAGACAAGAUGUCAGGUCCCCUGGCUGAGAAUCUGAGCUGAUUUCUACAUAUAUUGCUAGUUAUAGGAUUUCACAAGGUCCUGUAGGCUGUGAAGGGCAGAAUUGAGAUGGCUAUACAAAUAAACUGCCCUCUCCACAGACCAUUCUCAAAAGACAUGGUACAAACUCUGGGAAAAUAGGCAGCCAAUCACAUCUCACCCAGGACCAAAUUCAUUCAAACAUUUAUUUAAAAUAGAAAUGUAUAUCAAGCCUCUGACAUGAAAACAGUUUUAUAUAAGGCAAAUUCCUUAACCAGGUUUCAUUAUAGCUCUAGGGAUCCAUGGAUGAAUUAAGAAACUCUUGAAGUUGUAGGCAAAGAGUGUGUGUGUGUGUGUGUGUGAGUGAGUGUGUGUGUGUGUGUGUGAGUGUGUGUGUGUGUGUGUAUUGUUCUCAAGAAAAGAUCCAUAACUUUUGUCACAUUCUCAGAAGGGUGCACGACUCCAGAAAGGUUAAGAACCACUGAUGUAAGAAUCAUUUAUUUAAAAAUUGAACUUAUAAAGAAUAACACAUUCAUUUAAGCCAAAUGUCAUGAUGGCCACAACACAGAUAGUGUAUAAUAAUCACCAGUAUUCAGAGUGAUGGCCUUGAGACACAAUAAAAGCCUCAGUCAUCAAAGACAUUUAUUUUCAAGGUAUUUUACUUAACUGACAUGGGAAAAUGAACAAGCCUUUUAGAAAGAUUUGAAUAUUGAUUUAAAAUGAGGUUUCUGCUUUUGUUUAAGCCAGUUGGGCAAGUCUCUGUGUGCUAAACAAGGUGGAUUAGUGUAGAAAAAUAUGCAUUGUUUCAGAAAGUACAGUUAGGAGUCCACUGCAGUUGUUGAGGUGGCAAAGAAUGGGGGACUGAUGCUGGACCUUGGCAGUGGGGAGGGGGGAGGAACUGGAGGGAUGUUUGGCAGGAAACUGAAAUCAACAGACUUAAAUGUCUGGCUUGGGCAACUGAAUUAAAACAGUAGGAUAUUAAAGAGGUACAAAUAAACGUUUUGGUAAGAAAAUAAUUAAUUUGGUUUAAAAUGUUAGAUUUAAAGGCCUCUGGAACAGCCAGAUUCCACUGGUCUUGGGAAAGAUUUAGAAGAGAUUUAUGAAGCAUGGUGGCACAUGCUUGUAGUCCCAGCUACUUGGGAGGAAGGUUGGGGCCCAGGAGUUUGAGGCUACAGUGCACCUUGAUCACACCUGUGAAUAGCCAGUGCAUGCCAGCCUGGGCAACAUUGCAAGACUCUGUGUCCACAUUUUAAAACAUAUUUUUUUAAAGAAGACAUUUAUGGCUGAAGAAAUUUAUUUGAGAAUCAUCAGUAAAUUAGUGAUGGCUUAAGCUGGUAAUAAAAGUGUGGAAAAUUAUAAAUGUAAAUGACUUAGGAGAGUCUUAUAUAAAGCUGCAUUUAUUUGAAUAAGUUCUUACUUUUAAAAUAUGAAAUUAUAUAACACCCAAGGAAAAAUAGUGUUGGUGACUUUAAAUAUUUAUACAACUGUGUUUGUACCAUACAUUUCUGAAAAAAACUAUCCACCUCAGAAUUUUAUUUUACAUUGUGGGUUUUCUGGAGUUCUUGCAUUUCAAGACUCAAUUUUCCAUUUGAGAUAGCACAUUCACUGCCUGGUUUUAGAAGGGAGAAAGAGUUUUCCUUGGCAACCAGGUUCGACUGGAAAAAAUAAUCAAGAUGUCACCUGAUGCCACAAGCUACCAACUACGUUCUCAGCUAUGCGGACCUGCCAGUUGCUGAACCAGCAGAGGAAACUCGGCAUCAUGGAAAGAACACUAAACUUAGAACAGUUGAGUGUGAGUCUCAUUUCUGCCUCUUACUGUUUUUGCGACCCUGGACAAGUCAUUCAACUUCCCAGAACCUGUAUUUCCUCUUUAAUAACUGCCCUACCAUCCUCCAACAAUCCUCAGGUAACGAUCCUUAGAGCACUGGUGUUUAGGAGAUCGCCAAAGGGGUGGAUUGAGUGAACCCAAUCACAUGUUUAAAAAGCCGUUUCCUCGACUAACUUCCUCCAGGAUGACGCCUCCCACUGUCCUCCCCAUGACAGCCGACUGCGGUUAAUCUCUCCUUUGUCUCUACUUCCAUCCACAAACUGGUAUCAUUGUAUUUAUGCUUUAAUUAUUAUUAAUAUAUCUGUCUUUGCCAUCUUUUAUGUAAAAGAUGUUUUAGUUAUUUUUUUAUUCUUAGUGCCUAGCACACAGUAGGUGCUCCAUAAAUGCUAAAUGAAUAAACAAUGAUCAAAGAGAA